GUGGGGAAUAUUGGACAAUGGGCGAAAGCCUGAUCCAGCCAUGCCGCGUGUGUGAAGAAGGUCUUCGGAUUGUAAAGCACUUUAAGUUGGGAGGAAGGGCAGUAAGUUAAUACCUUGCUGUUUUGACGUUACCGACAGAAUAAGCACCGGCUAACUUCGUGCCAGCAGCCGCGGUAAUACGAAGGGUGCAAGAGUUAAUCGGAAUUACUGGGCGUAAAGCGCGCGUAGGUGGUUUUGUAAGUUGGAGGUGAAAUCCCCGGGCUCAACCUGGGAACUGCCUCCAAAACUGCAUGACUAGAGUACGGUAGAGGGUAGUGGAAUUUCCUGUGUAGCGGUGAAAUGCGUAGAUAUAGGAAGGAACACCAGUGGCGAAGGCGACUACCUGGACUGAUACUGACACUGAGGUGCGAAAGCGUGGGGAGCAAACAGGAUUAGAAACCCCUGUAGUCC
This 450-nucleotide ribosomal RNA is filed under the name uncultured bacterium. RNAcentral's name for it is "partial 16S ribosomal RNA". It matches the Rfam family "Bacterial small subunit ribosomal RNA", at positions 354 to 796 of the family's 1533-position model. The record is from RNAcentral.